This is a long non-coding RNA of Siniperca chuatsi (mandarin fish), 685 nucleotides long. RefSeq lists it as uncharacterized. The record is from RefSeq and is a predicted model, not a curated record. NCBI's taxonomy places the organism in Eukaryota, Metazoa, Chordata, Actinopteri, Centrarchiformes, Sinipercidae. The transcript has 4 exons.
GCUGGAUGAUGGGCGGAAAGCAUCAAAAUCUCAAUGAAUUAAGGUAAUAAAAGUAAUGUGCACCUCCUUGGUGUAUUUAGGUGUCACUAAAUGAUUGUUUAGCAGUGUCAGGGUCUGUCAGUACUUUUCUAAAUCAUAAAUAUUUGUUGGACAGGAUACCUUAAAUACCAGGGUGUGGCAGAGCCAGGGAGUGUCUUCGACAUGCUCCUUUAUUUAGACCCUCACAGACUGCCUUCUCUUCACUGUGUGGACUCAUCUUUCGAAUCCAGAUCCUCUACACUCUAAAAAUGUGCAGUAUUCCUUCCUUAACUGGUUUGGAAACGGCUGUGGCCGCCAUGUUCGGUGUCUUCAUUUCACAUCAAGGGACAAAUGGAAAACUGACCAAAGCAGAGUUUUUAAAUGUACUGAAGGAGGAACUGCCUGCUUUUGAAAAGGGAGACUGUGGAGAAGAGAUAUUCGCCUGUGUGGACCUGGACGAGGAUGGGUUUGUGGACUUCAAAGAGUUUGCCCUACUGGUUGCCUCAUAUGCCUGGGGUAGCUUUGACAUGCUCCAAGAGGCCCUCAAAGCUAUGGAAGAGAAAGCAUCAAAAUAGCCUGUAAUGAAUGUGUAAAACACUAUCGACGGGACAUGAACAUCUGACCUAUGUGGUUUCAUAUCACAAUAAUAAAAGUGAUUUUGUUCCAA